ACGAACGCUGGCGGCGUGCCUAAUACAUGCAAGUCGAGCGGAAUGAUGAAGAAGCUUGCUUCUUCUGAUUUUAGCGGCGGACGGGUGAGUAACACGUGGGCAACCUACCUUGUAGAUUGGGAUAACUCCGGGAAACCGGGGCUAAUACCGAAUAAUCCAUUUUGCUUCAUGGCGAGAUGUUGAAAGACGGUUUCGGCUGUCACUAUAAGAUGGGCCCGCGGCGCAUUAGCUAGUUGGUAGGGUAAUGGCCUACCAAGGCGACGAUGCGUAGCCGACCUGAGAGGGUGAUCGGCCACACUGGGACUGAGACACGGCCCAGACUCCUACGGGAGGCAACAGUAGGGAAUCUUCCACAAUGGACGAAAGUCUGAUGGAGCAACGCCGCGUGAGUGAAGAAGGUUUUCGGAUCGUAAAACUCUGUUGUAAGGGAAGAACACGUACGAGAGUAACUGCUCGUACCUUGACGGUACCUUAUUAGAAAGCCACGGCUAACUACGUG
This 499-nucleotide ribosomal RNA is filed under the name uncultured bacterium. RNAcentral's name for it is "bacterial SSU rRNA". It matches the Rfam family "Bacterial small subunit ribosomal RNA", at positions 29 to 507 of the family's 1533-position model. The record is from RNAcentral.